RNAcentral lists this ribosomal RNA (465 nucleotides) under Vreelandella stevensii. RNAcentral's name for it is "partial 16S ribosomal RNA". It matches the Rfam family "Bacterial small subunit ribosomal RNA", at positions 338 to 795 of the family's 1533-position model. The record is from RNAcentral. Lineage: Bacteria; Pseudomonadati; Pseudomonadota; Gammaproteobacteria; Oceanospirillales; Halomonadaceae.
CCUACGGGAGGCAGCAGUGGGGAAUAUUGGACAAUGGGCGCAAGCCUGAUCCAGCCAUGCCGCGUGUGUGAAGAAGGCCUUCGGGUUGUAAAGCACUUUCAGUGGGGAAGAAAGCCUUGGGGCUAAUACCCUCGAGGAAGGACAUCACCCACAGAAGAAGCACCGGCUAACUCCGUGCCAGCAGCCGCGGUAAUACGGAGGGUGCGAGCGUUAAUCGGAAUUACUGGGCGUAAAGCGCGCGUAGGCGGUCUGAUAAGCCGGUUGUGAAAGCCCCGGGCUCAACCUGGGAACGGCAUCCGGAACUGUCAGGCUAGAGUGCAGGAGAGGAAGGUAGAAUUCCCGGUGUAGCGGUGAAAUGCGUAGAGAUCGGGAAGAAUACCAGUGGCGAAGGCGGCCUUCUGGACUGACACUGACGCUGAGGUGCGAAAGCGUGGGUAGCAAACAGGAUUAGAUACCCUGGUAGUC